CCGGCGAGGGGAGUGAAAAAGAACCUGAAACCGUGUACGUACAAGCAGUGGGAGCACGCUUAGGCGUGUGACUGCGUACCUUUUGUAUAAUGGGUCAGCGACUUAUAUUCUGUAGCAAGGUUAACCGAAUAGGGGAGCCGAAGGGAAACCGAGUCUUAACUGGGCGUUAAGUUGCAGGGUAUAGACCCGAAACCCGGUGAUCUAGCCAUGGGCAGGUUGAAGGUUGGGUAACACUAACUGGAGGACCGAACCGACUAAUGUUGAAAAAUUAGCGGAUGACUUGUGGCUGGGGGUGAAAGGCCAAUCAAACCGGGAGAUAGCUGGUUCUCCCCGAAAGCUAUUUAGGUAGCGCCUCGUGAAUUCAUCUCCGGGGGUAGAGCACUGUUUCGGCAAGGGGGUCAUCCCGACUUACCAACCCGAUGCAAACUGCGAAUACCGGAGAAUGUUAUCACGGGAGACACACGGCGGGUGCUAACGUCCGUCGUGAAGAGGGAAACAACCCAGACCGCCAGCUAAGGUCCCAAAGUCAUGGUUAAGUGGGAAACGAUGUGGGAAGGCCCAGACAGCCAGGAUGUUGGCUUAGAAGCAGCCAUCAUUUAAAGAAAGCGUAAUAGCUCACUGGUCGAGUCGGCCUGCGCGGAAGAUGUAACGGGGCUAAACCAUG
RNAcentral lists this ribosomal RNA (664 nucleotides) under Escherichia coli. RNAcentral describes it as "partial 23S ribosomal RNA". It matches the Rfam family "Bacterial large subunit ribosomal RNA", at positions 526 to 1191 of the family's 2925-position model. Lineage: Bacteria; Pseudomonadati; Pseudomonadota; Gammaproteobacteria; Enterobacterales; Enterobacteriaceae. The record is from RNAcentral.